RNAcentral lists this ribosomal RNA (253 nucleotides) under uncultured bacterium. RNAcentral's name for it is "partial 16S ribosomal RNA". It matches the Rfam family "Bacterial small subunit ribosomal RNA", at positions 524 to 776 of the family's 1533-position model. The record is from RNAcentral.
UACGUAGGGUGCGAGCGUUGUCCGGAAUUACUGGGCGUAAAGAGCUCGUAGGUGGUUUGUCGCGUUGUCCGUGAAAACUCACAACUCAAUUGUGGGCGUGCGGGCGAUACGGGCAGACUGGAGUACUGCAGGGGAGACUGGAAUUCCUGGUGUAGCGGUGAAAUGCGCAGAUAUCAGGAGGAACACCAGCGGCGAAGGCGGCGCUCUGGGCCGGUACUGACACUGAGGAGCGAAAGCGUGGGUAGCAAACAGG